UUCAUGGAUGCUGACAGAACACACCAGACUACUGAACCAGAGAUGAAAGACUAUUACAGCAAAAGCAGUAGCCAGAGUGUCAACAUGUUUGUGUUGGUUCCCUGAACCCCAGAAACUAAGCAGAACUCACAGAAACUAAGCAGAUGGGCCCAGAUAUGUGUUUGCACAUAGGUUGCAUUACAGGAGAGAAAUGCUAAGCUUGGGGAUCCCACCAUUUUAUAGCAAGCAGUAAGCAAGCCUGCUCUUUGUCCCAUAGGGAGACAUUCCCUCAUCUCUCAAGGUUGCUCACAGCAAGAAUAUGCAAGAACGGGGAAGGCCGAUGGCAUUGUCUCUCCAUACAAGGGAGCCAAAGCAUGGUCUGUAACCAACUCGGAGCAAACUGAUCUCCGCCCAGAUGCAGCUUGAGUUCCCUGGACAGCAAAACCGUGAAUUAAACACUACUUCAUUUUGGUGUUUUAAAGUUCAAAUCCAUUAUACACCUCUGGGAGUCUGCAAUAACACUUUUCAUGUUUGUACAGCAGAAUUAUUUUUAGACGUACUUAUAAGAGGACUGGAUGUCAAAUCAGGAGACCUGAGCGCUAGCCUGGUUCUGCCACUUACUUAA
This 604-nucleotide long non-coding RNA is filed under the name Rhinolophus ferrumequinum (greater horseshoe bat). RNAcentral's name for it is "lncRNA (ENSRFEG00010009137.1)". Lineage: Eukaryota; Metazoa; Chordata; Mammalia; Chiroptera; Rhinolophidae. The record is from RNAcentral.